GCGAAAAAUUCAGAGAAGAAGGAAAUCGCAAAGUUCGGGUCGAGAUCCGGCGAGCCUCGUCGGGUUUCGCCCAUCUGAUUUGGAAUAGUUAAUUCGGAACCCCGAACCAACGGUCUUUCCCUUCUCGUCUCUUGUCUUCUCUUCUCGUUGAGUUCGCAAAAUGAAGGCGUCGGGUACACUGGUGGCGUCGGUGGUUGCGGCGUCCACCAUGGCUCUUACGACGUCGUCUUCGUCCAACCAGGGGGUUUCUUCUGCGGCGGUGAAGAACGGUGCGCAAAACUGUCAAACGGCGUCGGAUAAGGAGAAAUUCGAGCCGAGAUUCGACGGGUUGAGGUUCAUUGAGACGUUGGUGACAGCGCAUAGAUGAUUGUUGGCGCGGAGCUCUUAAUUAAUUGUAAGCCCGUGAUUAGAGUUCAAUCAGAGACAAAUUUCUUUCCUUUUUCUUCUUUCUUCUUCUCCAAAGUUUAAGACUUUUUGUUGUUGUGGUUUUUGUUAAUUGGGUCAUUCUCAGUUUGGUGUUUAUGUUCUCAAUCACGUAAUUACCAUUUAAUCUCGUAAUUAUAAAGCGAGAAGGUUUCGUCUUUUCCUUAAAAAUCUGGUCAUAGGAAUCUUCGUGAUUCCAGUACAUGUCGCAAGGUCUGGCCUGUGUUUGUAUUUCAUUGUAAAUUGUCGGUAGCAAAUUGGUUUGCUUUGCGGACUAAAUUAUUUGGAAUUGUAUAAAACACAUUUU
Molecule: long non-coding RNA, 730 nt
Organism: Prunus mume (Japanese apricot)
Lineage: Eukaryota; Viridiplantae; Streptophyta; Magnoliopsida; Rosales; Rosaceae
Source: RefSeq, a predicted model, not a curated record